RNAcentral lists this ribosomal RNA (466 nucleotides) under uncultured bacterium. Its description in RNAcentral is "partial 16S ribosomal RNA". It matches the Rfam family "Bacterial small subunit ribosomal RNA", at positions 28 to 507 of the family's 1533-position model. The record is from RNAcentral.
GACGAACGCUGGCGGCGCGCCUAACACAUGCAAGUCGAACGAGCGAGAGAGAGCUUGCUUUCUCGAGCGAGUGGCGAACGGGUGAGUAACGCGUGAGGAACCUGCCUCAAAGAGGGGGACAACAGUUGGAAACGACUGCUAAUACCGCAUAAGCCCACGACCCGGCAUCGGGUCGAGGGAAAAGGAGCAAUCCGCUUUGAGAUGGCCUCGCGUCCGAUUAGCUAGUUGGUGAGGUAACGGCCCACCCAGGCGACGAUCGGUAGCCGGACUGAGAGGUUGAACGGCCACAUUGGGACUGAGACACGGCCCAGACUCCUACGGGAGGCAGCAGUGGGGAAUAUUGCAAAAUGGGGGAAACCCUGAUGCAGCGCCGCCGCGUGGAGGAAGAAGGUCUUCGGAUUGUAAACUCCUGUUGUUGAGGAAGAUAAUGACGGUACUCAACAAGGAAGUGACGGCUAACUACGUG